GACGAACGCUGGCGGCGUGCUUAACACAUGCAAGUCGAACGGAAAGGCCCUGCUUGUUUGGGGUGCUCGAGGGGCGAACGGGUGAGUAACACGUGAGUAACCUGUCCUUGACUUUGGGAUAACGUCAGGGAACUUGGUCUCAUACCGGAUAGGAGCUCCUGCGGCAGGGUGGGGGUUGGAAAGUUUCGGCGGUAGGGGCUGGACUCGCGGCUUAUGAUGGUGGUGGUGGGGUAGUGGCUUACCAAGACUUUGACGGGUAGCCGGCCUGAGAGCGUGACCGGGGACAAUGCGACUGCGAUAGGGAGCAGACUGGUACGGGAGGCAGUAGGGGGAAGUAUUACACAGUGGGGCGGAGUGUGAUACAGAGACGCCGCGUGCGGGAUGAGGGCCUUCGGGUUGUGAAACGCUUUCGCCUGAGACGCAGCGCGAAUGACGGUAAUGGGUAAAGAAGCACCGGCUAACUACGUG
This 468-nucleotide ribosomal RNA is filed under the name uncultured bacterium. RNAcentral describes it as "partial 16S ribosomal RNA". It matches the Rfam family "Bacterial small subunit ribosomal RNA", at positions 28 to 507 of the family's 1533-position model. The record is from RNAcentral.